CACAAGGGGUGAAGCCUGCGGUUCAAUUGGAGUCAACGCCGGGAAUCUUACCGGGGGCGACAGCAGAGUGAAGGUCAAGCUGAAGACUUUACUAGACAAGCUGAGAGGAGGUGCAUAGCCGUCGCCAGCUCGUGCCGUGAGGUGUCCUG
RNAcentral lists this ribosomal RNA (149 nucleotides) under uncultured archaeon. Its description in RNAcentral is "partial 16S ribosomal RNA". It matches the Rfam family "Archaeal small subunit ribosomal RNA", at positions 880 to 1028 of the family's 1478-position model. The record is from RNAcentral.